Ictalurus punctatus (channel catfish) is the source of this 1973-nucleotide long non-coding RNA. RefSeq lists it as uncharacterized. The transcript is spliced from 2 exons. Lineage: Eukaryota; Metazoa; Chordata; Actinopteri; Siluriformes; Ictaluridae. The record is from RefSeq and is a predicted model, not a curated record.
AUCAGGUGUGGUUCCUGCUUGGUUGGAAGGAAGCCCUGCACCAGCACCGGCUCUUUGCCCACCCCUGCUUUAGGAUGUAGUUUUAGAAACUGAACUUUUAUAACCUUCUGUAAUCAAAAGACUUAUUUUCAGACAUAACAGGACCUCAUUGUUGGUUACAGCGCUGCAGUCAAUUUCCUGGUCAUUUUUUAUCACACACAGGGCCUCCAAGUGAGGUAACCAGAGCUGAACCUUGACUCCCAUUGGAGAUCAAGGGAGCUCCUCAACUCCAAGCAGCGGGGUAACACCAUGUGAGACCUGGUGGACUGGGACGGCUAAAGUCCUAAAGAGCGAUCAUGAAUCUCAGCUAAAGACAUAUUGGACCCCUUACUGAUCUCACUUCGAGAGCCACCCAUCUGGGGGGCUUCUGUAAUAUCCAGCCCAGAAAAUCCCUUGCCAGAGUGUGCCCUCCCCCCAAAGUUUUAAACAUCUUUUCCCAUAUGAUAUACACUCACAGAAUACUUUAUUAGGAACACCUAUACACCUACUCAUUCAUUCAAUUAUCCAAUCAGCCAAUCAUGUGGUUGCAGUGCAAUGCCUAAAAUGAUGCAGAUACAAGCCAGCACCUUCAGAUAAUGUUUACAUUAACCAUCAGAAUGGGGAAAAAAAAUAUGAUCUCAGUGAUUUUGACCGUGGCAUGAUUGUUAGUGCCAGAGCAUUUGAGCAUUUCAAUAACUUCUGAACUCUGGGGAUUUUCAUGCACAACAGUCUUUAGAGUUUACUCCAGUGAGCAGUAUUUCUGCAGACAGAUACACCUUAUUGUUGGGAGAGAUCAAUGGAGAAUGGCCAGACUGGUUCAAGCUGAAAGGGCUUGAACAAGGAAGAAAGGCUACAGUAACUCAAAUAUCCACUCUGUACAAUUGUGGUGAGCAGAAAAGCAUCUCAGAAUGCACAACAUGCACGAACCUUGAGGCAGAUGGGCUACAAGAGAAGAUGAUCAUGUCAGGUUCCAAUUCUGUCAGCCAAGAUGAGACAGCUGAGGCUGCAGUGGGCACAGGCUCACUAAAACUGGACUGUUGAGGACUGGACCUUUUGAGAUGAAUCUCAAUUUCUCCUGAGGCACACAGAUGAUAGGGUCAGAAUUUGUCACCAGCAGCAUAAAUCUAUGGAUCCAAACUGCCUUGUGUCAACAGUCCAGGCUAGUGGAGGUGAUGUAAUGGUGUGGGGGAAUGUUUUCUUGGCAUACUUGGACCCUGCUAACACCAAUCAGUUAUCGCUUGAAUGUCACAGACUAUUUGAGUAUCAUUGCGGACCAUGUGCAUCCCUUUGUGGCUACAAUUUACCCAUCUUUUUAUGCCAGGUGCCAGUAUGAGAAUGCACCAUGUUACAAAACUGGUUUCAUGAACAUGACAAUGAGUUUAAUGUUCUUCAGUGGCCUUCCCAGUCACUGGAUCUGAAUCCAAUCGAACACCUUUGGUAUGUGGUAGAACGGGACAUUUUCAGCAUGAAAAUGCUCCUGAAAAAUCUGCAGGAAUUGUGUGACGCAGUCAUGUCAGUGUGGACCAGAAUCUCAAAGGAAUCGUUCCAACAUCUUGUAGAAUCCAUGCCAUGAAGAAUUUAAGCUGUUCUGAGAGCAAAGUGAGGCCCUACCCAGUAUUGGUAUAGUGUUCCUAAUAAAGAGCUCUGUGAAUGUAUAACCAAAUGGACUCUUAGUCACUUCAAGAAGCCUUACAGUUCGUCUGUCACACUAGUAAGUGCUUUGUACCUGUGUAUGACCCUUCUUGUUUUGUCUAGAUGGCAUUGUCUCCUGCAUAACCUGUCUGACAGACCUAUGUCACAUUCUGCCUCUCUACUGCUUUUUCUACGCCCCAAAUAAUCGACCGCUCCCUACAGCAGCAACUAGUGAAUGUAUUAUUAAUCUAUAAGGGCUCGAAAACAGUGGCAUACCUUUCGGUUAGUUGGUGCUAACAAUAAAAUUGCUAUUCCAAAUUUUA